Molecule: ribosomal RNA, 692 nt
Filed under: uncultured Serratia sp.
Lineage: Bacteria; Pseudomonadati; Pseudomonadota; Gammaproteobacteria; Enterobacterales; Yersiniaceae
Description: bacterial SSU rRNA
Rfam family: Bacterial small subunit ribosomal RNA
Source: RNAcentral
GGUAGUCCACGCUGUAAACGAUGUCGAUUUGGAGGUUGUGCCCUUGAGGCGUGGCUUCCGGAGCUAACGCGUUAAAUCGACCGCCUGGGGAGUACGGCCGCAAGGUUAAAACUCAAAUGAAUUGACGGGGGCCCGCACAAGCGGUGGAGCAUGUGGUUUAAUUCGAUGCAACGCGAAGAACCUUACCUACUCUUGACAUCCAGAGAACUUAGCAGAGGUGCUUUGGUGCCUUCGGGAACUCUGAGACAGGUGCUGCAUGGCUGUCGUCAGCUCGUGUUGUGAAAUGUUGGGUUAAGUCCCGCAACGAGCGCAACCCUUAUCCUUUGUUGCCAGCGGUUCGGCCGGGAACUCAAAGGAGACUGCCAGUGAUAAACUGGAGGAAGGUGGGGAUGACGUCAAGUCAUCAUGGCCCUUACGAGUAGGGCUACACACGUGCUACAAUGGCAUAUACAAAGAGAAGCGACCUCGCGAGAGCAAGCGGACCUCAUAAAGUAUGUCGUAGUCCGGAUUGGAGUCUGCAACUCGACUCCAUGAAGUCGGAAUCGCUAGUAAUCGUAGAUCAGAAUGCUACGGUGAAUACGUUCCCGGGCCUUGUACACACCGCCCGUCACACCAUGGGGAGUGGGUUGCAAAAGAAGUAGGUAGCUUAACCUUCGGGAGGGCGCUUACCACUUUGUGAUUCAUGACUGGGG